CAAAGCCCUGAUUCAUCAUUGGAUUUGUCUACUGGUACAGCCCAUCACUUCUCUUUCCUGUUGAACACAUCAGACUAUCGCAUCCUGCGCAUGGAUGAGGAUCACGACCGCAUGUAUGUGGGCAGCAAAGACUACAUCCUGUCUCUGGACCUCCAUGACAUCAACCGAGAACCCCUCAUAAUACACUGGCCUGUUUCUCCACAGAGGAAGAUGGAGUGUGUUCUGAGUGGCAAAGACACAAACGUGAGUGCCGUCUUUCAAUUUCUUUGCUUCCACUCCGCUCACAUAUGCUUUAAUCUGGAAGGCGAAGAAAAACUCAGAAUAACCGCCAUGCAUCUCCAGAUGCCCCAGACCAGAGGAAGAUCUAGUCGUGCAGCUGAACCUGAAACAGAAUAUGUCUUCCAUCUGGAGCCCGGCAAGGAGGAUUCUGGGAAGGGAAAGUGCCCAUAUGAUCCAAAACUGAACAGUGUCUCCACUUUGAUUAAUGGAGAACUGUAUGCAGGGGUGUAUAUUGAUUUCAUGGGAACAGACUCUGCUAUUUUCCGAACUUUGGGGAAAAAUGCAGUCAUGCGCACUGACCAAUACAACUCAAGAUGGCUAAAUGACCCCUCAUUUGUCCAUGUGCACCUUAUCCCUGACAGCAACGAAAAAAACGAUGACAAACUCUACUUUUUCUUCCGUGAGAAGUCUUCCGAGAUGGGCCAGAGCCCCAAAUUACAGUCACGCAUCGGUCGAAUCUGCCUGAACGAUGAUGGCGGUCACUGCUGCUUGGUCAACAAGUGGAGCACCUUCCUGAAAGCCCGUCUCAUCUGCUCAGUCCCAGGAGCUGAUGGGAUUGAAACACAUUUCGACGAGCUCAGGGAUGUGUACAUACAGCCUACGCAGGACACUAAAAAUCCCGUCAUCUAUGGGGUCUUCUCUGUGUCUGGCUCUGUAUUCAAAGGCUCAGCGGUCUGCGUCUACUCAAUGGCAGACAUUCGGAUGGUGUUCAAUGGACCUUUUGCUCACAAAGAAGGUCCCAAUUAUCAGUGGGUGGCCUACUCUGGAAAAAUCCCCUACCCUCGUCCAGGAACAUGUCCUGGUGGGACUUUCACCCCUAACAUGAAGUCCACGAAAGACUACCCUGACGAGGUCAUCAACUUCAUGCGGAACCAUCCCACCAUGUACAAUACUGUGUAUCCGGUGCACAAGCGCCCCCUGGUGGUCAGGACCAACGUAGACUAUGAGUUCACCACCAUCACUGUGGACCAGGUGACUGCAGCCGAUGGCAACUACGAAGUGCUCUUCCUGGGUACAGACAGAGGUACAGUACAGAAGGUUAUCGUCCUGCCCAGAGAUGACCUGCAGACAGAGGAACUACUGCUAGAGGAAGUGGAGGUCUUUAAGGUCCCUACUCCCAUCACAACUAUGAAGCUUUCUUCAAAACGGCAACAACUAUAUGUAGCGUCAGCGGUUGGUGUGACUCAUCUGGCCCUGCACAGGUGUGAUGUCUAUGGCGAGGCCUGCGCAGACUGCUGUUUGGCCCGGGACCCUUAUUGUGCAUGGGAUGGCAAGUCCUGUUCUCGGUACUCUGCCUCACAGAAGAGACGCAGUCGGCGACAGGAUGUGAAAUACGGGAAUCCCAUACGGCAGUGCAGAGGAUACAAUUCUAACACUAAUAAGAACACUCUGGAGACGGUGCAGUAUGGGGUGGAGGGCAGCAGCACGUUUUUGGAGUGCCAGGCCAGAUCACCCCACGCUGCCAUUAAAUGGCAUCUCCACCGAGACAACAGCGAUAGAAGGAGAGAGGUCCGUACCGAUGGGCGCGUGUUGAAGACAGAUCAAGGCCUACUACUGCCUUCCCUCCAGUCCUCAGACUCUGGCAUCUACGUUUGCACAACGGCAACUAUUCACCUUAAAACGAUGACUUUUUCCUCAACAGUUAAUGGUAUUGUUACUAUUCCUGCAAAGCGCCACAUGGCCCCGAAAACCAGUGUGAAGCAGCGUCUUACAUUGAGAGAAAAUGGUUGUACAAUUUCUUGGUAUUUUUAA
This is a long non-coding RNA of Cyprinus carpio (common carp), 2031 nucleotides long. NCBI's taxonomy places the organism in Eukaryota, Metazoa, Chordata, Actinopteri, Cypriniformes, Cyprinidae. The record is from Ensembl.